CUGCCUCUCGCCAUUGACUGCUGGAGAUAGGCACCAGCACCCCUCGCCAUCCCAACAAGGAUAAGGGUGUAGGAAAAUGGAUGGUAAUAAAUUAGUACAAAAAGUCAUUCAAGUUUGGGUAAUGUUCUCUCAAAACACCACCUCUUCCUGUCUGUGGAUGUGAGCACACCAUUCUAUAACAGUCUAAUCUUGAAUGGCAAGUUGGAUAAGUACAUCAGGAAGAUAAGUAGAAAAAUAUGGACGGUUUAUAGUUGUCACUACAAACUAUCCAUAUUUUAUAUAAAUAUGAUGACACCAAGUACUGUAAUAUAAAUAAAAAAAUAACUGUUCCUUUAACUUUGUUAAAAGGUGCAGUUUGCCGUGGCCAAAGGUCUGACUGGAUUGUCCUGAACAGAUGAGCUGUGCCGUCCCCAAAAGGCUGAAUGAUGGAUGUUUCCUGCACCACAAGAAUUAAAUGGCCUACAAAUAUGCCAUAAGUGAAAUGUACUACAUUUAAUGUAAACAAAUUGCAUUAAUUAAAUAAAUGAAAUACUCUUA
Molecule: long non-coding RNA, 537 nt
Organism: Fundulus heteroclitus (mummichog)
Lineage: Eukaryota; Metazoa; Chordata; Actinopteri; Cyprinodontiformes; Fundulidae
Exons: 2
Source: RefSeq, a predicted model, not a curated record